Long non-coding RNA from Calidris pugnax (ruff), 1392 nucleotides. RefSeq lists it as uncharacterized. The record is from RefSeq and is a predicted model, not a curated record. The transcript is spliced from 4 exons. Lineage: Eukaryota; Metazoa; Chordata; Aves; Charadriiformes; Scolopacidae.
AAAGCUGACUGGUUUUACUUUUAACAAUGAAGGAAAAGAACUGAAGGGAAGCAGAGGAAUAUAGGGAUAAAAACCCUAUGAAUUUUUCAGGGUGUGUGACACCAAGAGCUUUGGAAAAGGAGUAUGUUGUGCAAUCCCAGCACAGAUUAGCAUGAAGAAUAGCACAGAAAAGAUAUUGUGCCUUGCCUUACAAGUUUUACUGCCUUGCAAAAGUCAUGCACUGUGCUCAAGAGCUACUGCCAGCAUCGUCAUGAUGACCUGUUUGUACUUUCACUGAUACAGAACAUUAAGCUGAAGCAGUAAAAGGAAAUCAAGAAGAAGAUAAUACAGGUUCUACAUCAGGAGAUUCAUAAGACCACAGGCUCAUUUUCAAGGAGCAUGGAUGACUCUCAGUCACUGCAGAUGUUUAAAAGCUGAAGUUGUGGAGCAAAACAUCAGUAACGAAAUACCCAAGCCUUUCUGCCUACAGGAGACAUUUGAGAUGAGAUAGAGAUUUUAAGGGCUGUCCAGAUGUAUUGACCUCUUGGCUUCCCUGGGAGAAUACAAGGUAGUGCUUAACACUAUGGCUCUUUGUCCUCCUCAUGGAAAAAUCCAGAUGGAAAGAAGUGUGGUUCACAGGGAAAUGAUCAUAUUCAUACAUAUGUGUUCUACAGUUUGUCACUAAUGAAUUCGGACUUGUCUGUUUUUCAUCCAGAGGAUGUAAAGGGAAAGAAGGGGAACAUGGCGAGGAUGGAAAUUGCACUUAAUUCCUACGCUCUUUGCAGAGGCUGCUCCGCUGGCAAAGGAAGUGGAACAUUCCCUCCACCUUCAGCAACUUGUUUGGGAAACUACAAAUCAUUUGGUGUAAAAAAUAAAAACAGGGUGGAGCAGACAGCUAAGAGAUAACCAUCUCUGAACAGGCACGUGGCAAUGAGCAGAAGUUCUUACAGCUUGUUUCUGUUCUGAAUAUCCAGUAUUUGGUCUGUUUAAAAUGUGUAACCCAUUACAACUGAAAUUGUACAAUUGUGAACAUUUGCAUCAGGUUGCUCAAUGACUUGAUGACGUAACUUUGAAGCAAUUCAAAAUGCAAAAUUUCCUUGUUUUACUGUAGUUGCACGUGCAUAAGGAUUGCAAAAGAUCUUUUUUUUUUUUUCGAUGUGAAGAAAGAAUACAAGGCCAAAUUCUCUGAAAAGGCUGGUGUCAUUAACUUAAUGCAGCUACACUGGCACCCGUUUUUCACUUCAACUGAAGCUACAACUUAAACUUGUCUUGGACUGCACAGUAAUUACAUCAUUAACAAAGCAAAUUCUGAAUGUUCGUCCGACUGCAUUAUGCCGCUGCAGAGGGCUGGCUGCUGCCACAGUCAGUUGAUAUACAAAAUACAAUUAUUUCUGGAGUAAUCUGUUUCUAAUU